CUGACCUACACGGUCUCGUCAGUUCGAGUGUGUGAUAUUUCGGAACAGAAUCUAGUUCCUUCGAUAUCAAUGUAAUUUAGUAAUCAUGAAAUAUCACAUACUCGAACCGACGUGACCACGUAGCUCAGUUGGAAGAACAUUGGGCUAGUAUUCCAAAGGUUGUAGGUUCGAUUCUCACCGUUGCCCGGCAUAUUUGUCAAGCUUACCCGGUGUGCAUAUACACUCAGAGUAACAUCACAAGCAUCAUAUUCACCUGAGUACAUUACACCAACACAGAAAAAAUCUAGAAUCGUGUCCAAAUUCAACGAAACUGC
This is a non-coding RNA of Paramuricea clavata, 314 nucleotides long. NCBI's taxonomy places the organism in Eukaryota, Metazoa, Cnidaria, Anthozoa, Malacalcyonacea, Plexauridae. The record is from the annotation of a GenBank genome assembly.